CUUCUCAGAAACAAAUUUCUCUCUGCGCUUCUCCUUCUCAAAAACAAAUUUCUUUCUGUCACGCUUCGGACUCUAUCACGCUUCUGAUUCGGUUUAUCUAAAGAACCCAGAAUUCGGCUUCUUCUUCUCUUACUAAUCAACCACAAGAACCCAGGGCAGCUAAACAAAACCCAAAGAAGAAACAGUAUCGGCCGGCGACGAUAUUUGAAAUAGUGAGUCUUGGAAUUUAGCACACGGGUCCAGAAGUUCCAUUGGACGAUGAAGUUAUAUAUGUAGACACUGUUCUGGAAAAAAAUUGGCAUUGAAGGUGAAGAUUAGUUUUUGGAUCUUGGUGGGAAAUCUGAUGCCUGUUGGCUAUAUACAGUA
Quercus lobata is the source of this 366-nucleotide long non-coding RNA. RefSeq lists it as uncharacterized. Lineage: Eukaryota; Viridiplantae; Streptophyta; Magnoliopsida; Fagales; Fagaceae. The record is from RefSeq and is a predicted model, not a curated record. The transcript is spliced from 3 exons.